UAUUUUCUUACCAUUUCAAUCUGGGGAAGA
This 30-nucleotide non-coding RNA is filed under the name Mus musculus (house mouse). Lineage: Eukaryota; Metazoa; Chordata; Mammalia; Rodentia; Muridae. The record is from RNAcentral.